CGAGUUAGCCGGACGGUCGCAUCGCAAGAUGAGGAAAGUCCGAGCAUCACAAGGCAGGGUGCAGGUGAAAUACCUGUGAAGGCGACUUCAAGGAAAGUGCAACAGAGAUAUACCGCACGAUUUAUCGUGUAAGGAUGGAAAGGCGAGGUAAGAGCUCACCGGCGAUGCGGCGACGUUUCGCGCUAUGUAAACCCCACCCGAUGCAAGAGAAAAGGGACAAUGGAUCGCCUGUCCGUCCCCUCAAUCGCUUGAACGCACAGGCAACUGCGCGUCUAGAUAGAUGACCGUUCAAGACAGAACUCGGCUUACAGACUAAUCUCGCAUC
Non-coding RNA from Clostridium sp. CAG:349, 325 nucleotides. Lineage: Bacteria; Bacillati; Bacillota; Clostridia; Eubacteriales; Clostridiaceae. The record is from Rfam.